GCGGGAGUAGCUCAGUUGGUAGAGCAUCAGCCUUCCAAGCUGAGGGUCGAGGGUUCGAGUCUCUUCUCCCGCU
Molecule: transfer RNA, 73 nt
Filed under: Fidelibacterota bacterium
Lineage: Bacteria; Pseudomonadati; Fidelibacterota
Description: tRNA-Gly
Rfam family: tRNA
About the family: Transfer RNA (tRNA) molecules are approximately 80 nucleotides in length. Their secondary structure includes four short double-helical elements and three loops (D, anti-codon, and T loops).
Source: RNAcentral